This 489-nucleotide ribosomal RNA is filed under the name uncultured bacterium. RNAcentral's name for it is "partial 16S ribosomal RNA". It matches the Rfam family "Bacterial small subunit ribosomal RNA", at positions 28 to 507 of the family's 1533-position model. The record is from RNAcentral.
GAUGAACGCUAGCUACAGGCUUAACACAUGCAAGUCGAGGGGCAGCAUGAUUGAAGCUUGCUUCAAUCGAUGGCGACCGGCGCACGGGUGAGUAACACGUAUCCAACCUGCCGAUAACUCGGGGAUAGCCUUUCGAAAGAAAGAUUAAUACCCGAUAGUAUAGUAUUUCCGCAUGGUUUCACUAUUAAAGAACUUCGGUUAUCGAUGGGGAUGCGUUCCAUUAGAUAGUUGGCGGGGUAACGGCCCACCAAGUCAACGAUGGAUAGGGGUUCUGAGAGGAAGGUCCCCCACAUUGGAACUGAGACACGGUCCAAACUCCUACGGGAGGCAGCAGUGAGGAAGAUUGGUCAAUGGACGAGAGUCUGAACCAGCCAAGUAGCGUGAAGGAUGACUGCCCUAUGGGUUGUAAACUUCUUUUAUACGGGAAUAAAGUGGAGUAUGCAUACUCCUUUGUAUGUACCGUAUGAAUAAGGAUCGGCUAACUCCGUG